Molecule: long non-coding RNA, 878 nt
Filed under: Homo sapiens (human)
Lineage: Eukaryota; Metazoa; Chordata; Mammalia; Primates; Hominidae
Description: HSALNT0317928
Source: RNAcentral
UCAGCCGGCGCACCUGGCGGAGGAGGAACCUCGCGACGCGCUCUCGGGCAUCGGUUUCUCCCAGCAAAGCUUGGAGGGUUUAGCUGCGCGGAGAGCUCAGCGAGCUCUUCUGUGUCUGUUUGGGGCGUGUGGGCUCCGGGAGCGUGAGGACCGGGAAGCUAGGAGGCUCCUUCCCUUCUGGCGGCUCCCUCACUGAGACCGGGCGGUUUGGUUGCGGGGGAAGUGGAGACGAGCCACCCUUGACCUUUGACUGCAAGAACUCACCUUGAGCAGGAUAGAGGCACGUGGACGGUGACCCUCGGGAUGCAAUAAAUGCUGAGACAGAUCAGGUGUGCAAGGCACAGAGCUAGAGGCCAGAGGCCUUUCUUCUCCAACCUUCAGUCACCUCUUUUUAAAGUGAAGCCAGCAUCCUCCUCGGGGUUUACUGUGAAAAUUAAGUGAGCUGACGCGUGCUGUGUUUUGAUGUUGCUUGGCUCCUACAAACAUUGAGUGGGCCAGACACUGUUCUGAAAAAUACGCAGUCGACUUUUGAACAGCACAGGCUUGAACUGCAUGCGGCCACUAAUACUCGGACUUCCUUCUGCCUCUGCCAUCCCUAAGACAGCAAGACCCACCCCUCCUGCUCCUCAGCCUACUCGAUGUGAUGAUGUCUGGCUUCCUUUUCCCUUCAAUGGAAUAACAUAUACAAACUCUACCUAAGAGUGCUGUGUGAAGUACAUGCCAGCCUACAAGACAUGUCUCUAACCAAGUCGAAAGAGUGCAGUAUUCGUUCAUUCACUCAUUCAUUCAUUCAACAAAUGUUUAUUAAUAGGUAUUGUUUACCAAGCACUGUGUGUUAAGGAGAAGAUGGUAUGAAACAAGCAGACCCAGGCCUCAGG